RNAcentral lists this ribosomal RNA (740 nucleotides) under Nematoda environmental sample. RNAcentral describes it as "SSU rRNA". It matches the Rfam family "Eukaryotic small subunit ribosomal RNA", at positions 272 to 1020 of the family's 1831-position model. The record is from RNAcentral. Lineage: Eukaryota; Metazoa; Nematoda.
CAUGGGCUCGUCCCGGCGACAUAUCCAUCAAGUGUCUGCCUUAUCAACUGUCGAUGGUAGUUUAAGUGACUACCAUGGUUGUAACGGGUAACGGAGAAUAAGGGUUCGACUCCGGAGAGGGAGCCUGAGAAACGGCUACCACAUCCAAGGAAGGCAGCAGGCGCGCAAAUUACCCACUCUCAGAACGAGGAGGUAGUGACGAAAAAUAACGAGACAGUCUUCUAUGAAGUCUGUCAUCGGAAUGGGUACAAUACAAAACCUUUAACGAGGAUCUAUUGGAGGGCAAGUCUGGUGCCAGCAGCCGCGGUAAUUCCAGCUCCAAUAGCGUAUAUUAAAGUUGUUGCGGUUAAAAAGCUCGUAGUUGGAUCUGCGAUCAUAGAGGCUGGUUCCCUCACGGGAUACUGGUUCUCUUGAUCUACCUAGCUGGUUCUCCCUUGGUGCUCUUUACUGAGUGCCCUGGGUAGCUAGCUCUUUUACUUUGAAAAAAUUAGAGUGCUCAAAGCAGGCUUUUGCCUGAAUAGUGGUGCAUGGAAUAAUGGAAUAGGACCUCGGUUCUAUUUUGUUGGUUUUCGGAGCAUGAGGUAAUGAUUAAGAGGGACAGACGGGGGCAUUCGUACUGCUGCGUUAGAGGUGAAAUUCUUGGACCGUAGCAUGACGAACAACUGCGAAAGCAUUUGCCAAGAAUGUUUUCAUUAAUCAAGAACGAUAGUUAGAGGUUCGAAGGCGAUCAGAUACCGCCC